GCGGACGUGGUGAAAUUGGUAGACACACCAGAUUUAGGUUCUGGCGCCGAAAGGUGUGAGAGUUCGAGUCUCUCCGUCCGCACCA
This 85-nucleotide transfer RNA is filed under the name Stutzerimonas stutzeri. RNAcentral describes it as "Pseudomonas stutzeri tRNA-Leu". It matches the Rfam family "tRNA". From Rfam's summary of the family: Transfer RNA (tRNA) molecules are approximately 80 nucleotides in length. RNAcentral also lists the same sequence under 3 other names. The record is from RNAcentral. Lineage: Bacteria; Pseudomonadati; Pseudomonadota; Gammaproteobacteria; Pseudomonadales; Pseudomonadaceae.